RNAcentral lists this ribosomal RNA (253 nucleotides) under uncultured bacterium. Its description in RNAcentral is "partial 16S ribosomal RNA". It matches the Rfam family "Bacterial small subunit ribosomal RNA", at positions 524 to 776 of the family's 1533-position model. The record is from RNAcentral.
UACGGGGGGGGCAAGCGUUGUUCGGAAUUACUGGGCGUAAAGGGCUCGUAGGCGGCCAACUAAGUCCGACGUGAAAUCCCCAGGCUUAACCUGGGAACUGCGUCGGAUACUGGAUGGCUUGAAUCCGGGAGAGGGAUGCGGAAUUCCAGGUGUAGCGGUGAAAUGCGUAGAUAUCUGGAGGAACACCGGUGGCGAAGGCGGCAUCCUGGACCGGCAUUGACGCUGAUGCGCGAAAGCCAGGGGAGCAAACAGG